Molecule: ribosomal RNA, 492 nt
Filed under: uncultured bacterium
Lineage: Bacteria
Description: partial 16S ribosomal RNA
Rfam family: Bacterial small subunit ribosomal RNA
Source: RNAcentral
AGUGAACGCUGGCGGUAGGCCUAACACAUGCAAGUCGAACGGCAGCACAGUAAGCGCUUGCUCUUACGGGUGGCGAGUGGCGGACGGGUGAGGAAUACAUCGGAAUCUACUUUUUCGUGGGGGAUAACGUAGGGAAACUUACGCUAAUACCGCAUACGACCUACGGGUGAAAGCAGGGGAUCUUCGGACCUUGCGCGUUUGAAUGAGCCGAUGUCGGAUUAGCUAGUUGGCGGGGUAAAGGCCCACCAAGGCGACGAUGCGUAGCUGGUCUGAGAGGAUGAUCAGCCACACUGGAACUGAGACACGGUCCAGACUCCUACGGGAGGCAGCAGUGGGGAAUAUUGGACAAUGGGCGCAAGCCUGAUCCAGCCAUACCGCGUGGGUGAAGAAGGCCUUCGGGUUGUAAAGCCCUGUUAUUGGGAAAGAAAAGCAGCAGGUUAAUCCACCGCUGUUCUGACGGUACCCAAAGAAUAAGCACCGGCUAACUUCGUG